This 568-nucleotide ribosomal RNA is filed under the name uncultured bacterium. Its description in RNAcentral is "partial 16S ribosomal RNA". It matches the Rfam family "Bacterial small subunit ribosomal RNA", at positions 355 to 914 of the family's 1533-position model. The record is from RNAcentral.
UGGGGAAUAUUGCACAAUGGGCGCAAGCCUGAUGCAGCCAUGCCGCGUGUGUGAAGAAGGCCUUCGGGUUGUAAAGCACUUUCAGCGAGGAGGAAGGUGGUGAACUUAAUACGUUCAUCAAUUGACGUUACUCGCAGAAGAAGCACCGGCUAACUCCGUGCCAGCAGCCGCGGUAAUACGGAGGGUGCAAGCGUUAAUCGGAAUUACUGGGCGUAAAGCGCACGCAGGCGGUUUGUUAAGUCAGAUGUGAAAUCCCCGGGCUCAACCUGGGAACUGCAUUUGAAACUGGCAAGCUAGAGUCUCGUAGAGGGGGGUAGAAUUCCAGGUGUAGCGGUGAAAUGCGUAGAGAUCUGGAGGAAUACCGGUGGCGAAGGCGGCCCCCUGGACGAAGACUGACGCUCAGGUGCGAAAGCGUGGGGCAGCAAACAGGAUUAGAUACCCUGGUAGUCCACGCUGUAAACGAUGUCGAUUUGGAGGUUGUGCCCUUGAGGCGUGGCUUCCGGAGCUAACGCGUUAAAUCGACCGCCUGGGGAGUACGGCCGCAAGGUUAAAACUCAAAUGAAUUGAC